Molecule: ribosomal RNA, 440 nt
Filed under: Neolamprologus meeli
Lineage: Eukaryota; Metazoa; Chordata; Actinopteri; Cichliformes; Cichlidae
Description: partial 28S ribosomal RNA
Source: RNAcentral
GGGUGGGGUCCGCGCAGUCUGCCCGGGGAUUCAACUCGGCGGGCCCGGGGAACGCCGCGCGGUGUGGGAGGAUCCCCUCGCGGGACUUCCCCCCGCUGUCGGCUGGCCCCCCGCCGGGCGCAUUUCCUCCGCGGCGGUGCGUCGCGACCGGCUCCGGUUCGGCCAGGAAGGGUCUGGGGCGAAGGUGGCUCGCGGCUCCGGCCGCGAGCUUUACAGCGCCUCUUGCCCGGAAUUCGCCGCUUACCGGGGCCGCGGACUCUGUGCUCUGGCGCCCUCUCUCCCCCUUAACCCGGGGAGGGACGGGGCCCCCUCGCUCCCGGCGCGACUGUCAACCGGGGCGGACUGUCCUCAGUGCGCUCCAACCGCGUCGCGCCGCCAGGGCGGGGAUCGGCCCAGCCAAAGGCGCAACGGGUCUGCGGCGAUGUCGGCUACCCACCCGA